Long non-coding RNA from Drosophila mojavensis, 690 nucleotides. RefSeq lists it as uncharacterized. The transcript has 2 exons. The record is from RefSeq and is a predicted model, not a curated record. NCBI's taxonomy places the organism in Eukaryota, Metazoa, Arthropoda, Insecta, Diptera, Drosophilidae.
CUUUUCUCUCUUUUCAAGAAAUCUCUUCUAUUUAUAGAAUUAUGGAUUCAACCCAACUCCGUCUACCCAUUCAACAAAAUCAGUAUACCCCACCGUCAGAUUUUCAAUGAGUACAAAAUAGAACCCAUGACCUCUAACCUAUUUAAGAAGGACAUCAAAAAGUUAACCGUUCACAGUUCCAAGAACUGCCCAAGAUAGGGAGGAGUUUACACGUGAGACACUUUCGAUUCUCACCAAAAAUAAAAACGAAGAGCAAGAAGAAGAAAAAUUCAAUUGCAAGAGAAACCAUUCAUGGCUUCUCGAAAAUCUUGGAACUAAUUUGUGCUCCGUUAUCGACUCGACUCGACGCAACUCGAAUCGACACAAUGGCAUCGAUCUAUCAGCCCUAAUAAAACACAUGUUGUUAUAUAGGGGAACAAAGAUGCUGCGGCAACAAUGCAAUCUCAACAUUAUCAAAGAGCGUUUUUCGACGUUUGUAAUCCAAUCUUGGGCUGCUUAACUCGAAUGUGGGAAGCUAAGCUAAGUGCGGACUGGCAAUCGCCAACCAAAUUUGUGAAUAAUUUAGACAAAUUAUGAUUUUGAUUUGCCAUGGGAAUAAUUAGGGAUCGUUUGAUAUUUACAUACUCUAUAAUUUACUUUGGAAGGAAAAACUAUAAUGAUAAUAUGAUGAAUAUAUAUAACAUAUUCUAA